AUCCAGCUGAAGAGCCCCAAAUAGGACGUUACGCGCGUCCUAUAU
This 45-nucleotide non-coding RNA is filed under the name Schistosoma mansoni. The record is from RNAcentral. Lineage: Eukaryota; Metazoa; Platyhelminthes; Trematoda; Strigeidida; Schistosomatidae.